GACGAACGCUGGCGGCGCGCUUAACACAUGCAAGUCGAACGGUAAGGUCCUUCGGGGUACACGAGUGGCGAACGGGUGAGUAACACGAGGGUGAUCUGCCCUGCACUUCGGGAUAAGCCUGGGAAACUGGGUCUAAUACCGGAUAGGACUUCUGGCUUCAUGGUGGGGGGUGGAAAGCUUGUGCGGUGUGGGAUGGGCCCGCGGCCUAUCAGCUUGUUGGUGGGGUAAUGGCCUACCAAGGCGACGACGGGUAGCCGGCCUGCGAGGGUGACCGGUCACACUGGGACUGAGAUACGGCCCAGACUCCUACGGGAGGCAGCAGUGGGGAAUAUUGCACAAUGGGCGCAAGCCUGAUGCAGCGACGCCGCGUGAGGGAUGACGGCCUUCGGGUUGUAAACCUCUUUCAGCUAUGACGAAGCGCAAGUGACGGUAGUAGCAGAAGAAGGACCGGCCAACUACGUGCCAGCAGCCGCGGUAA
Molecule: ribosomal RNA, 478 nt
Filed under: uncultured bacterium
Lineage: Bacteria
Description: partial 16S ribosomal RNA
Rfam family: Bacterial small subunit ribosomal RNA
Source: RNAcentral